CAACACGACGAUUAGGGUUUUCAUCCUUCAAUCCAGCGAUUAGGGUUUUCAUCAUUCUUUUCCAAUCAAACAAUCCAAGAUCCAAGUAAUCGACGCUCUGCUCUUUACGGAUCUUCAUAGAUCUUCAUAUCAACGCUCGAAUUCAAGGGUUUCUAUCUAUUCGAUCUAUUUACGACUCUUACACAUCAAUGUCGUCUCCAUCAAGGGAUCUUGAGAGUUUUUGUGCUUAAUUGAUGAUGAUGAGCUUAUGAUGAUGAUGAUGAUGAUGAUGACGACGCCGCCGCCAACGAUGACACUAAGAGAAUAACAUUUGCAAGAGGUUGGAGUUGCAUAAGGAAGCCGAAGAUUUUAUUAACAGCAUGAGCUUAAGACUCUUACACACACAUGCAUUUGUGUGAAUUCACAGGCCUUGAUGUGGAAUGAAGAUUGAGGAGCAUUAUUCUGAGGUGAUGGAUAUAGUGGGCCGCCUUUUGUUGAAAUGUUUGAUAAACUGAAUGAAAGGUGUGAAGAAGGGCUAGAAGGUAUUAGCAAGUGUACACGUGGAAUACCUUACGCCUUACAUUUGAAGAAGGAUUCAAAUGAUCUUUUCGCCAGACGUUGCCGACUACUCUUUGCUAAAGCUUAUGAUAAGAAGAGAAAGAGAUGGAGUAUGCCAACAACCUGUCAGGGGUUCGGACUAGGAUGGAAAUUCAUUUGCACAACUUAAAACAUGUCCAUAAAUGAAAACUUUGUAGGCUUCUAGGAUGAAUUUUUUCAUUCCAAACGUUUGUGUCGUUAUUUCUUAGUAACACCUUCUUUUAGCACGUGGACUUAAUCUACAUUUACUUUAUACUUGAAUAGAUGAAGAAAGUCAUCAGAGUUGAGGGAUGAGGCUGCAGAUGUAAGUUUUAGUUUCUUUAUGUUUCUUUUAUCUUUUUUUUAGUUUGUAUUUGUUGGCGCCAUGAAUUGGUACCAGCUUAAUUUGGUUAUUGCUUGGUGAUUAUUUACACGUUAACAUUGGUUGAGAGAAGGUCCUUAAAUGAAAGAUGUAAUUUGAAUCUUUCUUUUACGUGUCGAAUUGUGAGUAACGGUGCUGCAGCAAGGCAGGAUCUUUGGCAGCUGUGUGGGAGUGUUUUGGGGCUGCUAAUCGUGUCUGAACAAUCAAUAGCAGCUGCGAGAAAAGAUCAUAAACAGGAGGCCAUGCUCAGGUGAUUUGGGGUACAUAGCGGGGAUGAAUCAUAGUGUACAGACUGUGGUUUCGUAAGGUUUUUUAGGGUAUGUUAAAGGUAAAGUUGCCGGAUUGUUGGGGUGUGCGGGUAAGGUCGGAGGCCAAAUCCCAAAGGUAGCCAAGCAUGAUAAGAAGAAGAAGCAACAUGGACGUGCUCAAAAGUGUAUCUAGCAUAACCGCCGUUCAUCACCGCCGGCACCAAGUGUAAGAAAUAUGUUAAAUCGGAGGGAUUUAGCACUGUUAUAACUAGAUAUGCUCCCUCGGGACUACUGGAAUGUAUUUGGAAGCUACACGUUUGUCCUUUCAAUAUAUGGAAUAAAGUACUAUUGUAACUUUUUUGUUUACAUGAUUACAUUUAAUAAAAAUAUUUUAUUUUAGUAUUUA
This is a long non-coding RNA of Helianthus annuus (common sunflower), 1591 nucleotides long. RefSeq lists it as uncharacterized. NCBI's taxonomy places the organism in Eukaryota, Viridiplantae, Streptophyta, Magnoliopsida, Asterales, Asteraceae. The record is from RefSeq and is a predicted model, not a curated record. The transcript has 11 exons.